Molecule: ribosomal RNA, 485 nt
Filed under: uncultured bacterium
Lineage: Bacteria
Description: partial 16S ribosomal RNA
Rfam family: Bacterial small subunit ribosomal RNA
Source: RNAcentral
UUGCACGCUGGCGGCAUGCCUUACCCAUGCCAGUCGCACGGCAGCACGGGUGCUUGCACCUGGUGGCGAGUGGCGAACGGGUGAGUAAUACAUCGGAACAUGUCCUGUAGUGGGGGAUAGCCCGGCGAAAGCCGGAUUAAUACCGCAUACGAUCUACGGAUGAAAGCGGGGGACCUUCGGGCCUCGCGCUAUAGGGUUGGCCGAUGGCUGAUUAGCUAGUUGGUGGGGUAAAGGCCUACCAAGGCGACGAUCAGUAGCUGGUCUGAGAGGACGACCAGCCACACUGGGACUGAGACACGGCCCAGACUCCUACGGGAGGCAGCAGUGGGGAAUUUUGGACAAUGGGCGAAAGCCUGAUCCAGCAAUGCCGCGUGUGUGAAGAAGGCCUUCGGGUUGUAAAGCACUUUUGUCCGGAAAGAAAUCCUUGGCCCUAAUACGGUCGGGGGAUGACGGUACCGGAAGAAUAAGCACCGGCUAACUACGUG